This 253-nucleotide ribosomal RNA is filed under the name uncultured bacterium. RNAcentral describes it as "partial 16S ribosomal RNA". It matches the Rfam family "Bacterial small subunit ribosomal RNA", at positions 524 to 776 of the family's 1533-position model. The record is from RNAcentral.
UACGUAGGGGGCAAGCGUUGUCCGGAAUCAUUGGGCGUAAAGCGCGUGUAGGCGGUCCGGUAAGUCCGCUGUGAAAGUCGGGGGCUUAACCCUCGGAUGCCGGUGGAUACUGUCGGGCUUGAGUACGGAAGAGGCGAGUGGAAUUCCUGGUGUAGCGGUGAAAUGCGCAGAUAUCAGGAGGAACACCAAUUGCGAAGGCAGCUCGCUGGGACGUUACUGACGCUGAGACGCGAAAGCCAGGGGAGCAAACGGG